Long non-coding RNA from Panicum virgatum (switchgrass), 2091 nucleotides. RefSeq lists it as uncharacterized. Lineage: Eukaryota; Viridiplantae; Streptophyta; Magnoliopsida; Poales; Poaceae. The record is from RefSeq and is a predicted model, not a curated record. The transcript is spliced from 2 exons.
GGGAUCCCUGAAGCCCUAACGGGAUUCCAUUCUACCCUCCCCUUUCCUUUCCGGGUCCAGCGGCGCUGCCGUCGCCGGCGACUCUCGCCGGCGCUCGGCCGGGUCUGGACGCCAGGUGGCUUUCUUCUAUCUUUCUUGCUUCCCCCGUCCUCCCCCUCUUCUGGAUCUAGCCCGAGCGGGCGGCGGCGACGCCAGUGGUGGUCGACGCGGGAAAGGCGGCGGCGCUGCCGAGGCUGCCUCGCCGGCGCGUGCGCUCGCCUGAGGGUGAGUGUGCGGCCGUCGAGGUGGCCACGGGCGGCACCACCGGUUCUGCACGGCCGUGCCCCCGCGCAUGCAUGCGUUACGGCGAGCGGCGGCCGCGGCUUCUACACCGCACGCCGUCAAGCGGCGUCGGCAUGGAGAGGAUCAUCUUCUAGAUGUAAACACGGGCAUGGGGAUUACAUAUUCUGAGUAGUAAACAAGUGUUCAUCCUUCUAGUACAAGAGAGAGAGGUAGAGAGAAAAAGAAGGGGGCGCAGAGGAUGCAAACCCCAUGGCGCCGAUGGCGCAGAGAAGCUCCGGGUCGUCGAGGCGCGGGUCUGGCGGCGACGGUGGUCGGCGAGGGAAGCGGAAACCCUCUGGCCUCCACCGGGUCUGGCCGGCGACGGAAGUAGCGGAGGGGAGCGACGUGGUGGCGCUUCCCGUCGGCCUCGCGUAACCCUAGAUCGGUAGGGGUGUGGGAGAGGGUUGUGGCGGCGGUGAACCUCGUGUCAUGUGCCUCGGCCCCUCUCCUGUUCUAUAUAGCGCGGUCGACGGGGGGGGGGGGGGGGGCACCAGCCAUAUGGGCUGGACGCCCCCGAUCAGAGCGUGUUCAAGGGGUCCGGCCCGAUCUUUAGAUCGGGCCCGUAGAGAUCAACUCUAACACAAGAAGGCUGUGGAGGCCGAGAUGGUCCUCCCGGCUUGAUGCGCGCGCGGGGCGUGCUGGUGUCGUGCUCCAUGUCGAAUAAUGCUUCCGGUAUUUGAGAGUGGUGGAGAGAAUAAAAUGGUUCAUCAUCCAUGGACAUGGUUUCGGAUGGAUCGCCUCCUAGACGCUGCUUUACUGUUCGUCGAAACGUUAUCGUCACUCUUUGUUUUCAGACUUAUGGUUUUGUGCCACCAGUGUUAUGGAUUUAUGACGGUUCAAUCUGUUUGCUUAAUGUUAGCAUGGAUUGUGAUAGAGUUUUCUUGUUACACCAUUUUUUUCAUCUUGCAUUGCUGGGUGAUUUGACAUAUUUCGCUGUGAUUUAGUUGCAAUUUAUCAAUUUGCAGUUUUUUUACAAUACAUGUCUUUUGGGAUUGCGACUCUUUUUAUGGAUCCACGUCAGACAACUCAAUCAAAUAGAAUUGCAGCUUUUGCUCUGUAAUUGAAACUUUAGGUAAAAUUUUAGGCGAUUAGAAAUCAGCUUGCAGCCUGUUCGGCUGGUGAUGGGCUGUUGACUGGUCAGCCUAGUUCCAGCUAGCGCCAGCUGCUCCAGCCGGCCUCCAACCAUUUCAAGUUCAAGCAAGCCCGCCAUGGGUUCGGCUGGUGAUGGGCUGUUGACUGGCUUUCCCCCCCAACCGAACAGGCCGUUGGCUAUUGUGGUGAAAUUCAUUGAAUGGUCCACAGCUGCCCGCAGGCGGAGUCCAUCCCAUCGUCUUCGCUUUCCUGCGGGACGCCGUGCGCAAGGACGUCGGCCGCCGGCGCUGCUUGCUCCGUGCAGGCCAGCGACGCAUCGCGCCUCCAUCCUGCCCGGGCCAGCAGAGCCAUCAGCCAUCGAGCAUGAAGCACGGGCACCACGACGGCGGUGAACGACAUCCCGACGCCCAAGGGCCAACGCGUUCGACAACAAAAGUACUUCACCUCGGACCAGGAGCUCUCCACAUCCACACCGACCACGGCAGGACCAACAAAAGCUGGGAUAUAGUGGCCCUUGUUGGAUUUGAAUACAGUCACCAAUACUAUACAAAGCACAGCCUUUGCUGGAUCUGUUAGAUAUGGUUGUCAUGAAUCUAUGGGUGAAAUCUUGUUCGAAUGCGUUGUGUUUUGAGGAGGCAAUUUUGAAUCAAAGAUUCGAACUUUUGCCCUUUCUUAUUA